AGACUAUACUUUCAGGGAUCAUUUCCAUAGUUUACUAGAGAAGUUUAUCUGAACAUGUAGAGCACCAGCUCUCUGGGUCCCCUAGGAAGCCAUUUCUGCCUUGUCUCUCAGAGGUCCUUGGGGAGGGCUGCCAGAAGUACUGGGAAAAGGCCACAGGGAGAAGGAAACCUUCAGCUGAAUUUUGUAACAAUUCCAACCAAACAAGAAGUCUCCUGGCCAGAAUUCGGGGGAGGGCAUGAAGCCAGUGGGCAGACCCCACAGGUGGGGAAGCAUGAAAGCCCUACUUGUUUUUGUAGCUGGGAAUCUGGUAGCCUGGGGCAAGUUCUCAGCCCUGCUUGCCCCCUGCCUGGAAACAGACUCAAUGCUGCCGUGGGAGGAAGCAUGGUAGGAGUGAGAUUGGCCUUUCGGGUUGCAUGGGAGCUGAGUGAGGCCUGUGAUUGCCAGUUUUCCCCCACUUCCCUGACAACCUGCAUGACACAGCAGAGGCAGCCAUAAUCUUCCUAGGAACAUAACUCCAUUGACCUGGGAACCAUACCCCCAUCCUCCACAGCAACCACAGCAAGACCCACCCAAGGAGAUUCUGAGCUCAGACAUGACUAGCCCUGCUCCCACCUGAUGGCCCUUCCCUACCCACCCUGGUAGCUGAAGACCAAGGGCACAUGCUCUUGGGAGUUCUAUGGCUGCACCCACCACGUGAUCCCAUACUGUCACAGCUGAUGCUCUCUUGAAAGCACCACCUCCCAGCAGGCGGCCAACCAGCACAAAAAUAGUGUAUUAAACAAUCAAAAUUAAGGACUCUCACACAGUCCAUUUCACUCCUCUGCCACCUCCACCAGAGGAGGUGCUGGUACCCACGGCUGAGAGACCCACAGAUGAUUCACAUCACAGGGCUCUGUGGAGACAACCAGCAGUGCCAGCCUGGAGCCUGGUAGACCUGCUAGGUGGCUAGAUCAAGAAGAGAGGUAACAAUCACUAUAGCUCAGCUGUCAGGAAGCCACAUCCAUAGGAAAAGGGGGAGAAUACUACAUCAAGGGAACAUUCCAGGUGACAAAAGAAUCUGAACCACAGCCUUAAGCCCGAGACCUUCUUUCUGACAGAGACUACCCGAAUGAGAAGGAACCAGAAAACCAACUUUGGUAAUACGAGAAAACAAAGUUUUUUAACACCCCUCAAAAAUCACACUAGCUCACCAGCAAUGGAUCCAAACCAAGAAGAAAUCCC
Molecule: long non-coding RNA, 1221 nt
Filed under: Homo sapiens (human)
Lineage: Eukaryota; Metazoa; Chordata; Mammalia; Primates; Hominidae
Description: HSALNT0369995
Source: RNAcentral